Sorex fumeus (smoky shrew) is the source of this 104-nucleotide small nuclear RNA. The record is from RefSeq and is a predicted model, not a curated record. Lineage: Eukaryota; Metazoa; Chordata; Mammalia; Eulipotyphla; Soricidae.
GUGCUCACUUCGACAGCAUGUGUACUAAGAUUGAAAUGAUACAGAGAUUAGCAUGGCCCCUGCGCAAGGAUGACACGCAAAUUCGUGAAGCAUUCCAUAUUAAA